UUGCCGCAGCUCAUAAAAGCAAAAGCAAACUGCUGUUUGUCGGGUACUGAACAAGAAGAUAAGAGAGAGUUGACAGCCUGGUUCCGUACAUGGAGCGUGCUUGUGAUGGGAUCAAAACGGCAUCACAGAAGCAACUAGGUUAUCAGGUCUUUUCAUAUAAAUAGAUACAUUGCAUAGAGAUAAAGUAAGACAAGAAGUUAGAACAAAAUACACAGCAUAAACUUGUAUCUUUGUUCUUGGGAGUGGGUAGAGAGUGAUUCCGAGAGAAGCUUUGUAAGGGGGCUUGUGGGGUGUCUGAUACUCUCUUGUAACCUAUGAUCUAGUGGAUUCCGGGAGACAGUUCCCGGCCCAGACUAACACCCUAUUUAACGGGUGUAACUGGGUUAACAAUCUCUUGUCUUGUUCUUGCUCUAAAGGGUUCUGUUCUUUGCUUUCCCUUCUAAGUGUUGAGUGUUCAUCAGCUUGUUCAGUGAGUUCUUGAGUGUGUGAGCAUACUAUCACAAAGGAGACGUCUUUGAGUGGGUUGUUGCUUCACAGACCACGUUUCAUUACUGCUGUAAGAAAGAAAACAACGUAACAUGGGAAACUAAAAAAGAAUAUACAACGAUCAAUAAUCGUAUUUUUUUGCUAAACAAACGAUCAAUAAUAAAGGCUUUAACGAGUAAAUCGAUGUCAAUAUCUAUAGGUUGUGAUAUUUCAUGGAUUUGAGAAAGCUAUUAAAGGUAAAGGUUUGAAAAUACGGUUUAGGCUUAUUUUUACAAAUUAUUAACGUUGUUUUUUAAUUAUUAUUUUUACAAAUUAUUAUGUUGUUUCUUAGAGUGAACUGUUCUAUAUGAUUCUUGAUGUGAAUAAUACAAAUUGUCUUCUUUUGCAUAUUUUUUAGUUUAUUGUCAUUCUUGUGAAGCUUAAGGCUUUAAUUGGCUAGAAACAUAUGUUUUGUUGAACAGAAGUGCAUCAUCUUCAGCCCAUCCAUUUGUUCCAAUGAUUUCAAUAUUGGAUUACAGAAACUACAUAUGUUAUAUUAAACAAUAUGCAAUAAAACAUUCAACGACCGCAUAGCGCAGUGGAUUAGCGCGUCUGACUUCGGAUCAGAAGGUCGUGGGUUCGACUCCCACUGUGGUCGCAAUUUUUAUUAUUUUCCUUUUUGGAGUUUUCUAGGAAAUUUUGAAGCUGCAUAACUUUGUAAUCUUUCACUUGCCAGAUGCUCGCCACUGUUAAGGAAAGCUAGUCCCUUCUCAGUUGAGCUUUUUGAGUGACAGACUCUAUAGCUUUGAUCUCAAUAUCUUUAGUACUCACUACUAAAGCAGUAGUGUUGCUUCAUCUCAUACAUAUAUAUAGAGAAAUACAACGUACUUCAUUGCUUAUUAUCACCGCGUAACAAAAGACAUUCAUGAACAAACUCCAUAUAACCUUUUAUUUGCAACUAGAGCAAGGUCACAUAAGUUUCAGCAUUUUCAAUCUUCCUUCGUGCUCAGCAUCCAGCUUCGGGGGAGUGUAACAUCCAUGAAGAUCUUCCACAAUAUACUCCUUCGUGAGCUCUCGCUUAGUGAGGAUAUGGUAAUGCCUCUGCCAUAUCCUCUGAAUAGCCAUAGUCGUAGCAAGAAACCCAUACGCUAAACCAAGAAUCGCAAAUAUAACAACAAAGACAACAACAAGAGCGAAACAAGCUUCCAUUGACGCAGGGAAACAAUCCAAGAUCCCCCAUCCGUAACAACAGUUCUGACACCCAGCCAUCCUCGGGUCAUUACCGUUGAGAGAAGAGCAGUGUAGAACGAGGCCAAUGAUAAACAAAACACCAUCUUCUGCAAUUAACUUUGAGAUUCCAGACAAGAAAUGGUCAGGAAAGUCUCCGGGUUACAGUUACUUGAGAAGAUUUGGGUGUGUUUGUUUUGCACAUUCAGACGAUGGAAAGCUUACUCCACGAGCCAAGAAGGGAGUAAUGCUUGGGUAUCCACCAGGAGUUAAAGGUUACAAGGUUUGGUUGCUAGAAGAGAAGAAGUGUAUGAUCAGUAGAAAUGUGAUGUUCCAAGAGAAUGCUGUGUACAAGGAUGUGAUUCAACGGGGAAAACAGAUUCAGGGCAGUGAAUAUGAGACUUCAGAGAUAAUUUUCAACAUUGAUCCAGAAGGAACUGGAGAUUCAGGUUCAGGUGGAGAUCUCUCGGAAGAGAUAGGAUCCCUUGGAGAUUCUACACCUGAUGGGAAUGCUCAGAAUGAAGAUACAGAAGCUGCAGAGGAAGGACAUGAUCAUCUUGAGCAAUCAGAUGAACAAGUCCAAAACGAGAAUCAAGAAGCUGUUGAGUCACCAGUGAGUUAUCAUCUCGUCAGAGACAGAGCUAGAAGAGAAGUAAGGGCUCCAAGAAGAUUUGAUGUGGAGGGGUACUUCAGUGAGGAUACUGAUGAUGAAGAUGAUCACUUUGACGCAGAAGCACUCAUUACCACUGUCGAUGGAGAUAUAAAAGAACCUGGAAGUUAUCAAGAAGCGAGGCUUAGUGAUGAUUGGGAGUUCUGGAAAGAAGGAAUGGGUGAGGAGAUGGAAUCACAUAAAAAGAAUCAUACAUGGACUGUUGUCGAGAGACCAAAAGGACAACGUGUUAUUGGUUGCCGUUGGAUUUUCAAACAUAAAUCUGGAAUUCCAGGGGUUGAAUCACCAAGGUUUAAGGGAAGGCUUGUUGCCAAAGGGUAUGCUCAGAGAGAAGGAGUUGAUUAUACUGAGAUAUUCUCCCCUGUAGUGAGACAUGUAUCUAUAAGGAUAUUACUGUCUAUUGUGGUUGAAGAGAACUUGGAGCUUGAACAGCUGGAUGUCAAGACAGCCUUCUUACACGGAGAGCUAGAUAAAAAGAUCUAUAUGGAAGCUCCUGAGGGUUGUGAAGAUCAGUUCAAGCCUAAUCAAGUGUGUCUCUUGAACAAGGCUCUAUAUGGUCUUAAGCAAGCACCAAGGAUGUGGAACGAGAAGUUUGAUGGAUAUAUGUCUGAGAUUGGGUUUACACAGAGUCUCAGAGAUAGUUGUGUUUACAUCAAAGCACACGAGAACGGAUCAAAGGCGUAUCUACUCAUCUAUGUAGAUGACAUGUUGGUUGCAGCUAAAGAGAAGAGCGUUAUUGCAGAACUGAAACAGAAGCUGAGUGAUAAAUUUGAUAUGAAAGACCUUGGACCAGCCAAGAAGAUUCUUGGUAUGGAAAUCAGAAGAGAUCGUGUUGCAGGGAAGCUGUGGAUGGGUCAGGAAAGCUAUCUCAAAAAGGUGUUAGAGCUGUAUAAAAUGGAAAACUCGAACAAAGUGUCAACACCUUUAGGUGCACACUUGAAGUUGCGGGCAGCUACACCAGAGCAGUUAAGAGAUGAAGAAGAGUACAUGAAGUCAGUGCCUUAUGCCAAUGCAGUCGGAAGCAUUAUGUACUCUAUGAUUGGCACACGACCUGAUCUAGCUUAUCCAGUUGGGAUGAUCUGCAGGUUCAUGGGGAAUCCCAUCAAAGAACACUGGUUGGGAGUCAAGUGGGUGUUGAGAUACAUUCGUGGUACCAUGGAAACGAAGCUCUGCUACAAAAAGGGUUCAGAAUUUGUUCUCAGAGGCUACUGUGAUUCAGAUUAUGCAGCUGAUAUUGAUGGAAGAAGAUCAAUCAGUGGUGUUGUGUUCACGCUUGGAGGAAAUACCAUCAGCUGGAAAUCAUCUUUACAAGAUGUUGUGGCUUUAUCUACCACUGAAGCUGAGUAUAUGGCGUUGAAUGAGGCUGUUAAGGAAGCGUUGUGGCUCAAAGGCAUCCUGAAGGAGUUUGGUUAUGAACAGAGAGCUGUUGAGGUGUUCUGUGAUUCUCAAAGCGCCAUUGCUUUAUCAAAGAACAAUGUUCAUCAUGAACGAACCAAACAUAUAGACACCAAGUUUCACAAGAUCAGACAAGUCAUUGCUCAUGGUCAUGUGAACGUUCUGAAGAUUUCUACGCUGCACAAUCCAGCAGAUAUCUUCACAAAGAUCUUGCCAGUCAGUAAGUUCCAGUCAGCAUUGGACUUACUGAGGGUCAAGUCUGAGUAAUCAACUCAGACGCCGGGAAGGGAAUCCUGUUAACUAGAUCGGAUUACUAUCAAUAUCUCUAUAGUUCUGUGACGUCUGUGACUAUCUUUGAUCUGUCUUUGCUAGGUGGAGAAUUGUUGAGUCUUAGUAAAGAAGAUCAUGAUGAAGAUAGAAGAAGAAGAAGACGUGAAGAAGAAGUAUCAAUGUAUCUUGGACAAGACCACGUGAGUUUCUCUUUGCAGGACCACAAAGACUAGCCGUUUGCCGCAGCUCAUAAAAGCAAAAGCAAACUGCUGUUUGUCGGGUACUGAACAAGAAGAUAAGAGAGAGUUGACAGCCUGGUUCCGUACAUGGAGCGUGCUUGUGAUGGGAUCAAAACGGCAUCACAGAAGCAACUAGGUUAUCAGGUCUUUUCAUAUAAAUAGAUACAUUGCAUAGAGAUAAAGUAAGACAAGAAGUUAGAACAAAAUACACAGCAUAAACUUGUAUCUUUGUUCUUGGGAGUGGGUAGAGAGUGAUUCCGAGAGAAGCUUUGUAAGGGGGCUUGUGGGGUGUCUGAUACUCUCUUGUAACCUAUGAUCUAGUGGAUUCCGGGAGACAGUUCCCGGCCCAGACUAACACCCUAUUUAACGGGUGUAACUGGGUUAACAAUCUCUUGUCUUGUUCUUGCUCUAAAGGGUUCUGUUCUUUGCUUUCCCUUCUAAGUGUUGAGUGUUCAUCAGCUUGUUCAGUGAGUUCUUGAGUGUGUGAGCAUACUAUCACAAAGGAGACGUCUUUGAGUGGGUUGUUGCUUCACA
Molecule: long non-coding RNA, 4800 nt
Filed under: Brassica napus (rape)
Lineage: Eukaryota; Viridiplantae; Streptophyta; Magnoliopsida; Brassicales; Brassicaceae
Description: long non-coding RNA (BNAP_LNC008492)
Rfam family: tRNA (bases 1050-1123)
Source: RNAcentral